Molecule: unclassified non-coding RNA, 382 nt
Filed under: uncultured fungus
Lineage: Eukaryota; Fungi
Description: sequence contains ITS1
Rfam family: 5.8S ribosomal RNA (bases 1-105)
Source: RNAcentral
GAAAUGCGAUAAGUAGUGUGAAUUGCAGAAUUCAGUGAAUCAUCGAAUCUUUGAACGCACCUUGCGCUUCCUGGUAUUCCGGGGAGCAUGCCCGUUUCAGAAUCAUUAAAAUCUCACAAAUCAAUUUGCUUUCGGGCAUCUUGACAAGUGGAUGUGGAUGUUUUUGUACUUUGUACAAACAUUUUAAAGUGAUUGUAUGUGCGCCUUGUUUAAUAACAUUGGUUAUCAAAAGUGCAACAGAUUUAUCUCUAUUUCAUUUUAGUAAUCAGUGUCACAGACAUGGUGUUAUUAUGCUCAAAAACCAUUAAGUGAUGUUGGUUGUAUGAUCAACAUUUACUGAUAACUUGGUCUGAAAUCGGGCAAGAAAACCCGCUGAACUUAA